RNAcentral lists this ribosomal RNA (557 nucleotides) under uncultured bacterium. RNAcentral's name for it is "partial 16S ribosomal RNA". It matches the Rfam family "Bacterial small subunit ribosomal RNA", at positions 355 to 905 of the family's 1533-position model. The record is from RNAcentral.
UGGGGAAUUUUGGACAAUGGGCGAAAGCCUGAUCCAGCAAUGCCGCGUGUGUGAAGAAGGCCUUCGGGUUGUAAAGCACUUUUGUCCGGAAAGAAAUCCUUGGCUCUAAUACAGUCGGGGGAUGACGGUACCGGAAGAAUAAGCACCGGCUAACUACGUGCCAGCAGCCGCGGUAAUACGUAGGGUGCAAGCGUUAAUCGGAAUUACUGGGCGUAAAGCGUGCGCAGGCGGUUUGCUAAGACCGAUGUGAAAUCCCCGGGCUCAACCUGGGAACUGCAUUGGUGACUGGCAGGCUAGAGUAUGGCAGAGGGGGUAGAAUUCCACGUGUAGCAGUGAAAUGCGUAGAGAUGUGGAGGAAUACCGAUGGCGAAGGCAGCCCCCUGGGCCAAUACUGACGCUCAUGCACGAAAGCGUGGGGAGCAAACAGGAUUAGAUACCCUGGUAGUCCACGCCCUAAACGAUGUCAACUAGUUGUUGGGGACUUCAUUUCCUUAGUAACGUAGCUAACGCGUGAAGUUGACCGCCUGGGGAGUACGGUCGCAAGAUUAAAACUCAAA